UACAGAGGGUGCGAGCGUUAAUCGGAAUUACUGGGCGUAAAGGGCGCGUAGGUGGUUACUUAAGUCAGAGGUGAAAUCCCCGGGCUCAACCUGGGAAUUGCCUAUGAAACUGAGUGGCUAGAGUUCGGGAGAGGGAAGUGGAAUUUCCGGUGUAGCGGUGAAAUGCGUAGAUAUCGGAAGGAACACCAGUGGCGAAGGCGACUUCCUGGCCCGAUACUGACACUGAGGCGCGAAAGCGUGGGGAGCGAACAGG
RNAcentral lists this ribosomal RNA (253 nucleotides) under uncultured bacterium. RNAcentral describes it as "partial 16S ribosomal RNA". It matches the Rfam family "Bacterial small subunit ribosomal RNA", at positions 524 to 776 of the family's 1533-position model. The record is from RNAcentral.